Dipodomys ordii (Ord's kangaroo rat) is the source of this 285-nucleotide long non-coding RNA. RefSeq lists it as uncharacterized. The record is from RefSeq and is a predicted model, not a curated record. The transcript is spliced from 5 exons. Lineage: Eukaryota; Metazoa; Chordata; Mammalia; Rodentia; Heteromyidae.
GGGUGACACUAGGGUCGGUUCUGAGCAGGGGAGGAAGCGGCCUCUGAAGUUACGGCCUUCGGUAUAUUAUACUGAAAAAGAGCUUGGAGCAGCAAUUUCCAAAUCUUCUGGACUUUGAGGACGAAAUCGCUGCAGAGGCUACUGGGGAGUUUGAAGUAUUUGUGGAUGGAAGAUUGGUCCAUUCCAAGAAGAAAGGCGAUGGCUUUGUGGACGAAUCUGGGAUGAAGAAAAUUGUACAAACUAUUAGUGAAGAGCUCAGGAAAAGGUAGCAGGCAAUGGUGGGGC